Molecule: unclassified non-coding RNA, 199 nt
Filed under: uncultured fungus
Lineage: Eukaryota; Fungi
Description: sequence contains ITS1
Source: RNAcentral
GUAUGUAUAUUUUUUGUUCCCAGCCAUUCUAAUACAUUCAGAGAUUGUGAAAAACAUAGACCAGGUCUACAAUUCGUGCACAGUUGGAGAAAUAAAGAAAAAAACAAGCGUGCACAUGCAACUCCAAGGAGGAGAGCCAGCAACAACCCGUUUCAAGUUUAAUUCAAUAAUGAUCCUUCCGCAGGUUCACCUACGGAAA